CAGAGGGUGCGAGCGUUGUCCGGAAUCACUGGGCGUAAAGGGCGCGUAGGCGGCUUUGCAAGCGUGCGGUGAAAGCUCGGGGCCUAACUCCGAGUCUGCCGUGCGAACUGUGAGGCUUGAGUCUGGUAGAGGUCGAUGGAAUUCCGGGUGUAGCGGUGGAAUGCGUAGAGAUCCGGAAGAACACCGGUGGCGAAGGCGGUCGACUGGGCCAGUACUGACGCUGAGGCGCGACAGCGUGGGGAGCAAACAGGAUUAGAUACCCUGGUAGUCCACGCCGUAAACGAUGGGCACUAGGUCCUUGGGGGAGCGACCCCUUGAGGGCCGGCGCUAACGCAUUAAGUGCCCCGCCUGGGGAGUACGGCCGCAAGGCUG
This 372-nucleotide ribosomal RNA is filed under the name uncultured organism. RNAcentral's name for it is "bacterial SSU rRNA". It matches the Rfam family "Bacterial small subunit ribosomal RNA", at positions 526 to 896 of the family's 1533-position model. The record is from RNAcentral.